GAUGAAGAACGCAGCGAAAUGCGAUAAGUAAUGUGAAUCGCAGAAUUCAGUGAAUCAUCGAAUCUUUGAACGCACAUUGCGCCCCCUGGUAUUCCGGGGGGCAUGCCUGUUCGAGCGUCAUUUCACCACUCAAGCCUCGCUUGGUAUUGGGCAACGCGGUCCGCCGCGUGCCUCAAAUCGACCGGCUGGGUCUUCUGUCCCCUAAGCGUUGUGGAAACUAUUCGCUAAAGGGUGUUCGGGAGGCUACGCCGUAAAACAACCCCAUUUCUAAGGUUGACCUCGGAUCAGGUAGGGAUACCCGCUGAACUUAAGCAUAUCAAUAAGCGGAGGA
This 331-nucleotide unclassified non-coding RNA is filed under the name soil metagenome. RNAcentral describes it as "partial contains 5.8S ribosomal RNA, internal transcribed spacer 2, and large subunit ribosomal RNA". The stretch from base 1 to 120 matches the Rfam family "5.8S ribosomal RNA", at positions 35 to 154 of the family's 154-position model. The record is from RNAcentral.